This 82-nucleotide transfer RNA is filed under the name Haemonchus contortus (barber pole worm). RNAcentral's name for it is "tRNA, Pseudo". The record is from RNAcentral. Lineage: Eukaryota; Metazoa; Nematoda; Chromadorea; Rhabditida; Trichostrongylidae.
CUUCCUGACCCAGGGAUUGAACCUUGUGUCUCCUGAGGCUCCUACACUGCAGGCAGGUUCUAUACCGCUGAGCCACCAGGGA